GACGAACGCUGGCGGCGUGCUUAACACAUGCAAGUCGAACGGAAAGGCCCUGCUUUUGUGGGGUGCUCGAGUGGCGAACGGGUGAGUAACACGUGAGUAACCUGCCCUUGACUUUGGGAUAACUUCAGGAAACUGGGGCUAAUACCGGAUAGGAGCUCCUGCUGCAUGGUGGGGGUUGGAAAGCUCGGGCGGUUGGGGAUGGACUGGCGGCUUAUCAGCUUGUUGGUGGGGUAGUGGCUUACCAAGGCUUUGACGGGUAGCCGGCCUGAGAGGGGGGCCAGCCACAUUGGUACUGAGAUACGGCGCAGACUGCUACGGGAGGCAGCAGUGGAGAAUAUGGCACAAUGGGGGGGAGCCUGAGGCAGCGGCGCCGCGUGCGGAAUGACGGCCAUCGGGUUAUAAACCGCUGUCGCCUGUGACGAAGCGUGAGUGACGGUAAUGAGUAAAGAAGCACCGGCUAACUACGUG
This 468-nucleotide ribosomal RNA is filed under the name uncultured bacterium. RNAcentral's name for it is "partial 16S ribosomal RNA". It matches the Rfam family "Bacterial small subunit ribosomal RNA", at positions 28 to 507 of the family's 1533-position model. The record is from RNAcentral.